Molecule: ribosomal RNA, 247 nt
Filed under: uncultured bacterium
Lineage: Bacteria
Description: partial 16S ribosomal RNA
Rfam family: Bacterial small subunit ribosomal RNA
Source: RNAcentral
AUACGGAGGGUCCGAGCGUUAUCCGGAUUUAUUGGGUUUAAAGGGUGCGUAGGCGGUUUUAUAAGUCAGCGGUGAAAUUUUCCGGCUCAACCGGGAUACUGCCGUUGAUACUGUAAGGCUAGGAUAUGGUUGCUGUGGGUGGAAUGUGUGGUGUAGCGGUGAAAUGCUUAGAGAUCACACAGAAUAUCGAUUGCGAAGGCAGCUUACUAAGCUACAACUGACACUGAAGCACGAAAGCGUGGGGAUC